AUUGAACGCUGGCGGCAGGCCUAACACAUGCAAGUCGAACGGUAGCACAGAGGAGCUUGCUCCUUGGGUGACGAGUGGCGGACGGGUGAGUAAUGUCUGGGAAACUGCCCGAUGGAGGGGGAUAACUGCUGGAAACGGUAGCUAAUACCGCAUAACGUCGCAAGACCAAAGAGGGGGACCUUCGGGCCUCUUGCCAUCGGAUGUGCCCAGAUGGGAUUAGCUAGUAGGUGGGGUAACGGCUCACCUAGGCGACGAUCCCUAGCUGGUCUGAGAGGAUGACCAGCCACACUGGAACUGAGACACGGUCCAGACUCCUACGGGAGGCAGCAGUGGGGAAUAUUGCACAAUGGGCGCAAGCCUGAUGCAGCCAUGCCGCGUGUAUGAAGAAGGCCUUCGGGUUGUAAAGUACUUUCAGCGAGGAGGAAGGCGUUGUGGUUAAUAACCGCAACGAUUGACGUUACUCGCAGAAGAAGCACCGGCUAACUCCGUGCCAGCCGCCGCGGUAAAAGGG
This 511-nucleotide ribosomal RNA is filed under the name uncultured Enterobacterales bacterium. Its description in RNAcentral is "bacterial SSU rRNA". It matches the Rfam family "Bacterial small subunit ribosomal RNA", at positions 29 to 528 of the family's 1533-position model. Lineage: Bacteria; Pseudomonadati; Pseudomonadota; Gammaproteobacteria; Enterobacterales. The record is from RNAcentral.